GGGAGCGUAGCUCAGAUGGUAGAGCGUUCGCUUAGUAUGCGAGAGGUACGCGGAUCAAUACCCCGUGCUUCCA
Non-coding RNA from Trichonephila inaurata madagascariensis, 73 nucleotides. The record is from the annotation of a GenBank genome assembly. NCBI's taxonomy places the organism in Eukaryota, Metazoa, Arthropoda, Arachnida, Araneae, Nephilidae.